Molecule: ribosomal RNA, 459 nt
Filed under: uncultured bacterium
Lineage: Bacteria
Description: bacterial SSU rRNA
Rfam family: Bacterial small subunit ribosomal RNA
Source: RNAcentral
UACGGGAGCAGCAGUGGGGAAUAUUGCACAAUGGGCGCAAGCCUGAUGCAGCCAUGCCGCGUGUGUGAAGAAGGCCUUCGGGUUGUAAAGCACUUUCAGUAGGGAGGAAGGUAGUGUAGUUAACACCUGCACUAUUUGACGUUACCUACAGAAGAAGCACCGGCUAACUCCGUGCCAGCAGCCGCGGUAAUACGGAGGGUGCGAGCGUUAAUCGGAAUUACUGGGCGUAAAGCGCAUGCAGGUGGUUUGUUAAGUCAGAUGUGAAAGCCCGGGGCUCAACCUCGGAACUGCAUUUGAAACUGGCAGACUAGAGUACUGUAGAGGGGGUAGAAUUUCAGGUGUAGCGGUGAAAUGCGUAGAGAUCUGAAGGAAUACCGGUGGCGAAGGCGGCCCCCUGGACAGAUACUGACACUCAGAUGCGAAAGCGUGGGGAGCAAACAGGAUUAGAUACCCUGGUAG